UACGUAGGGGGCAAGCGUUGUCCGGAUUUAUUGGGCGUAAAGAGCGUGUAGGCGGCUGGGUAGGUCCGUUGUGAAAACUUGAGGCUCAACCUCGAGACGCCGAUGGAAACCCUCCAGCUAGAGUCCGGAAGAGGAGAGUGGAAUUCCUGGUGUAGCGGUGAAAUGCGCAGAUAUCAGGAAGAACACCCGUGGCUAAGGCGGCUCUCUAGUACGGUACUGACGCUGAGACGCGAAAGCGUGGGGAGCGAACAGG
Molecule: ribosomal RNA, 253 nt
Filed under: uncultured bacterium
Lineage: Bacteria
Description: partial 16S ribosomal RNA
Rfam family: Bacterial small subunit ribosomal RNA
Source: RNAcentral